CUUAUUGGCAGACUAUUGCACUAGAAUUAGAAUCUAAUUAUCC
This 43-nucleotide transfer RNA is filed under the name Nemesia seldeni. RNAcentral describes it as "tRNA-Leu". Lineage: Eukaryota; Metazoa; Arthropoda; Arachnida; Araneae; Nemesiidae. The record is from RNAcentral.